This 112-nucleotide transfer RNA is filed under the name Planctomycetaceae bacterium. Its description in RNAcentral is "tRNA-OTHER". The record is from RNAcentral. Lineage: Bacteria; Pseudomonadati; Planctomycetota; Planctomycetia; Planctomycetales; Planctomycetaceae.
GGCCCGAAGUGACGGAAAGCCCGUUCUCGACGGCACUUGAGGCCAGAUCCUCCCGGGACUUAAAAUCCUGUGGGGGGCAACCCCCGUGCGGGUUCGAGUCCCGCCUCGGCCA